RNAcentral lists this ribosomal RNA (406 nucleotides) under uncultured bacterium. Its description in RNAcentral is "partial 16S ribosomal RNA". It matches the Rfam family "Bacterial small subunit ribosomal RNA", at positions 28 to 526 of the family's 1533-position model. The record is from RNAcentral.
GAUGAACGCUAGCUACAGGCUUAACACAUGCAAGUCGAGGGACCGGCGCACGUGAGAGAAAUACGUAUCCAACCUUCCCUUUAAUCGGUGAUUGCUUUUCGAAAGAAAGAUUACUACCCGAUAGAAAGGUCGGGGAUGCGUUCCAUUAGGCUGUUGGUGAGGUAACCGCCAACCAAGCCAUCGCUGGAUAGGGGUUCUGAGAGGAAGGUCCAUCACAUUGGAACUGCGCCACGGUCCACACUGCUACGGGAGGCAGCAGUGAGGAAUAUUGGUGAAUGGGCGCUAGCCUGACCCGGCCAAGUAGCGUGAAGGAUGAAGGCGUAUGGGUCAUAGACUUCUUUUAUAUAAGAAUAGGUAUUAUAUGAAUAAGGACCGGCUAACUCCGUGCCAGCAGCCGCGGUAAUUC